This 442-nucleotide ribosomal RNA is filed under the name uncultured bacterium. RNAcentral's name for it is "bacterial SSU rRNA". It matches the Rfam family "Bacterial small subunit ribosomal RNA", at positions 338 to 795 of the family's 1533-position model. The record is from RNAcentral.
CCUACGGGGGGCUGCAGUGGGGAAUAUUGCACAAUGGGGGAAACCCUGAUGCAGCGACGCCGCGUGAAGGAAGAAGGUUUUCGGAUCGUAAACUUCUAUCAGCAGGGAAGAAGAAAGUGACAGUACCUGACUAAGAAGCCCCGGCUAACUACGUGCCAGCAGCCGCGGUAAUACGUAGGGGGCGAGCGUUGUCCGGAAUUAUUGGGCGUAAAGCGCGCGCAGGCGGCUGUUUAAGUCUGGUGUUUAAUCCUGGGGCUCAACCCCGGGUCGCACUGGAAACUGGGCAGCUUGAGUGCAGGAGAGGAGAGUGGAAUUCCUAGUGUAGCGGUGAAAUGCGUAGAUAUUAGGAGGAACACCAGUGGCGAAGGCGACUCUCUGGACUGUAACUGACGCUGAGGCACGAAAGCGUGGGGAGCAAACAGGAUUAGAUACCCGAGUAGUC